UGCCAAAGGAGAUUUGCUCGG
This 21-nucleotide microRNA is filed under the name Malus domestica (apple). RNAcentral describes it as "mdm-miR399g". Its record names the gene mdm-miR399e. RNAcentral also lists the same sequence under 2 other names. Lineage: Eukaryota; Viridiplantae; Streptophyta; Magnoliopsida; Rosales; Rosaceae. The record is from miRBase by way of RNAcentral.